RNAcentral lists this ribosomal RNA (501 nucleotides) under Tsukamurella paurometabola. RNAcentral describes it as "bacterial SSU rRNA". It matches the Rfam family "Bacterial small subunit ribosomal RNA", at positions 1 to 522 of the family's 1533-position model. The record is from RNAcentral. Lineage: Bacteria; Bacillati; Actinomycetota; Actinomycetes; Mycobacteriales; Tsukamurellaceae.
UGGAGAGUUUGAUCCUGGCUCAGGACGAACGCUGGCGGCGUGCUUAACACAUGCAAGUCGAACGGUAAGGCCCUUUCGGGGGUACACGAGUGGCGAACGGGUGAGUAACACGUGGGUGACCUGCCCUGUACUUUGGGAUAAGCCUGGGAAACUGGGUCUAAUACCGGAUAUGACCUUCUCCUGCAUGGGGGUUGGUGGAAAGCUUUUGCGGUACAGGAUGGGCCCGCGGCCUAUCAGCUUGUUGGUGGGGUAAUGGCCUACCAAGGCGACGACGGGUAGCCGGCCUGAGAGGGCGACCGGCCACACUGGGACUGAGACACGGCCCAGACUCCUACGGGAGGCAGCAGUGGGGAAUAUUGCACAAUGGGCGCAAGCCUGAUGCAGCGACGCCGCGUGAGGGAUGACGGCCUUCGGGUUGUAAACCUCUUUCAGUAGGGACGAAGCGCAAGUGACGGUACCUACAGAAGAAGCACGGCCAACUACGUGCCAGCAGCCGCGGUA